AGUGAACGCUGGCGGUAGGCCUAACACAUGCAAGUCGAACGGCAGCACAGUAAGAGCUUGCUCUUACGGGUGGCGAGUGGCGGACGGGUGAAGAAUACAUCGGAAUCUACUUUUUCGUGGGGGAUAACGUAGGGAAACUUACGCUAAUACCGCAUACGACCUACGGGUGAAAGCAGGGGGUCUUCGGACCUUGCGCGAUUGAAUGAGCCGAUGUCGGAUUAGCUAGUUGGCGGGGUAAAGGCCCACCAAGGCGACGAUCCGUAGCUGGUCUGAGAGGAUGAUCAGCCGCACUGGAACUGAGACACGGUCCAGACUCCUACGGGAGGCAGCAGUGGGGAAUAUUGGACAAUGGGCGCAAGCCUGAUCCAGCCAUACCGCGUGGGUGAAGAAGGCCUUCGGGUUGUAAAGCCCUUUUGUUGGGAAAGAAAAGCAGCAGGUUAAUACCCCGCUGUUCUGACGGUACCCAAAGAAUAAGCACCGGCUAACUUCGUG
Molecule: ribosomal RNA, 492 nt
Filed under: uncultured bacterium
Lineage: Bacteria
Description: partial 16S ribosomal RNA
Rfam family: Bacterial small subunit ribosomal RNA
Source: RNAcentral